AUUGAACGCUGGCGGCAUGCCUUACACAUGCAAGUCGAACGGCAGCACGGGGGCAACCCUGGUGGCGAGUGGCGAACGGGUGAGUAACAUAUCGGAACGUGCCCUGGAGUGGGGGAUAACUAGUCGAAAGAUUAGCUAAUACCGCAUACGAUCUACGGAUGAAAGUGGGGGAUCGCAAGACCUCAUGCUCGUGGAGCGGCCGAUAUCUGAUUAGCUAGUUGGUGGGGUAAAGGCCUACCAAGGCAUCGAUCAGUAGCUGGUCUGAGAGGACGACCAGCCACACUGGGACUGAGACACGGCCCAGACUCCUACGGGAGGCAGCAGUGGGGAAUUUUGGACAAUGGGCGCAAGCCUGAUCCAGCAAUGCCGCGUGAGUGAAGAAGGCCUCCGGGUUGUAAAGCUCUUUUGUCAGGGAAGAAACGGUGAGGGCUAAUAUCCUUUACUAAUGACGGUACCUGAAGAAUAAGCACCGGCUAACUACGUGCCAGCAGCCGCGGUAAUACGUAGGGUGCAAGCGUUAAUCGGAAUUACUGGGCGUAAAGCGUGCGCAGGCGGUUGUGCAAGACCGAUGUGAAAUCCCCGGGCUUAACCUGGGAAUGGCAUUGGUGACUGCACGGCUAGAGUGUGUCAGAGGGGGGUAGAAUUCCACGUGUAGCAGCGAAAUGCGUAGAGAUGUGGAGGAAUACCGAUGGCGAAGGCAGCCCCCUGGGAUAACACUGACGCUCAUGCACGAAAGCGUGGGGAGCAAACAGGAUUAGAUACCCUGGUAGUCCACGCCCUAAACGAUGUCAACUAGUUGUCGGGUCUUAAUUGACUUGGUAACGCAGCUAACGCGUGAAGUUGACCGCCUGGGGAGUACGGUCGCAAGAUUAAAACUCAAAGGAAUUGACGGGGACCCGCACAAGCGGUGGAUGAUGUGGAUUAAUUCGAUGCAACGCGAAAAACCUUACCUACCCUUGACAUGGCAGGAAUCCCGGAGAGAUUCGGGAGUGCUCGAAAGAGAACCUGCACACAGGUGCUGCAUGGCUGUCGUCAGCUCGUGUCGUGAGAUGUUGGGUUAAGUCCCGCAACGAGCGCAACCCUUGUCAUUAGUUGCUACGAAAGGGCACUCUAAUGAGACUGCCGGUGACAAACCGGAGGAAGGUGGGGAUGACGUCAAGUCCUCAUGGCCCUUAUGGGUAGGGCUUCACACGUCAUACAAUGGUACAUACAGAGGGCCGCCAACCCGCGAGGGGGAGCUAAUCCCAGAAAGUGUAUCGUAGUCCGGAUUGCAGUCUGCAACUCGACUGCAUGAAGUUGGAAUCGCUAGUAAUCGCGGAUCAGCAUGUCGCGGUGAAUACGUUCCCGGGUCU
RNAcentral lists this ribosomal RNA (1352 nucleotides) under uncultured bacterium. RNAcentral describes it as "bacterial SSU rRNA". It matches the Rfam family "Bacterial small subunit ribosomal RNA", at positions 28 to 1381 of the family's 1533-position model. The record is from RNAcentral.